GACGAACGCUGGCGGCGUGCCUAAUACAUGCAAGUAGAACGCUGAAGGAGGAGCUUGCUUCUCUGGAUGAGUUGCGAACGGGUGAGUAACGCGUAGGUAACCUGCCUGGUAGCGGGGGAUAACUAUUGGAAACGAUAGCUAAUACCGCAUAAGAGUAGAUGUUGCAUGACAUUUGCUUAAAAGGUGCAAUUGCAUCACUACCAGAUGGACCUGCGUUGUAUUAGCUAGUUGGUGAGGUAACGGCUCACCAAGGCAACGAUACAUAGCCGACCUGAGAGGGUGAUCGGCCACACUGGGACUGAGACACGGCCCAGACUCCUACGGGAGGCAGCAGUAGGGAAUCUUCGGCAAUGGACGGAAGUCUGACCGAGCAAUGCCGCGUGAGUGAAGAAGGUUUUCGGAUCGUAAAGCUCUGUUGUAAGAGAAGAACGAGUGUGAGAGUGGAAAGUUCACACUGUGACGGUAUCUUACCAGAAAGGGACGGCUAACUACGUG
RNAcentral lists this ribosomal RNA (495 nucleotides) under uncultured bacterium. Its description in RNAcentral is "partial 16S ribosomal RNA". It matches the Rfam family "Bacterial small subunit ribosomal RNA", at positions 28 to 507 of the family's 1533-position model. The record is from RNAcentral.